RNAcentral lists this ribosomal RNA (609 nucleotides) under Albirhodobacter sp. RNAcentral describes it as "bacterial SSU rRNA". It matches the Rfam family "Bacterial small subunit ribosomal RNA", at positions 97 to 726 of the family's 1533-position model. Lineage: Bacteria; Pseudomonadati; Pseudomonadota; Alphaproteobacteria; Rhodobacterales; Paracoccaceae. The record is from RNAcentral.
GGCGGACGGGUGAGUAACGCGUGGGAAUAUGCCCUUUGGUACGGAAUAGCCUCGGGAAACUGAGAGUAAUACCGUAUGUGUCCUCUGAUCGUGGUGGUUGGAGGAGAAAGAUUUAUCGCCAAAGGAUUAGCCCGCGUUGGAUUAGAUAGUUGGUGGGGUAAUGGCCUACCAAGUCUACGAUCCAUAGCUGGUUUGAGAGGAUGAUCAGCCACACUGGGACUGAGACACGGCCCAGACUCCUACGGGAGGCAGCAGUGGGGAAUCUUAGACAAUGGGGGCAACCCUGAUCUAGCCAUGCCGCGUGAUCGAUGAAGGCCUUAGGGUUGUAAAGAUCUUUCAGUUGGGAAGAUAAUGACGGUACCAACAGAAGAAGCCCCGGCUAACUCCGUGCCAGCAGCCGCGGUAAUACGGAGGGGGCUAGCGUUAUUCGGAAUUACUGGGCGUAAAGCGCACGUAGGCGGACUGGAAAGUUAGAGGUGAAAUCCCAGGGCUCAACCUUGGAACUGCCUUUAAAACUAUCAGUCUAGAGAUCGAGAGAGGUGAGUGGAAUUCCGAGUGUAGAGGUGAAAUUCGUAGAUAUUCGGAGGAACACCAGUGGCGAAGGCGGCU